CCCUUAGAUGUUCUGGGCUGCACACGCGCUACACUGGAGGGAUCAGCGUGUUCUUUUCCUGGUCCGAAAGGAUCGGGUAACCCGCUGAACCCCCUUCGUGGUAGGGAUCGGAGCUUGCAAUUAUUCUCCGUGAACCAGGAAUUCCCAGUAAGCGCAAGUCAUAAGCUUGCGUUGAUUACGUCCCUGCCCUUUGUACACACCGCCCGUCGCUACUACCGAUUGGACGUUUUAGUGAGGAUUUUGGACUGAGCCAAUGGUGGUUCACACCACUGUUGUGCAUGGAAAGAUCUCCAAACUUGAGCGUUUAGAGGAAGUAAAAGUCGUAACA
This 328-nucleotide ribosomal RNA is filed under the name uncultured eukaryote. RNAcentral's name for it is "partial 18S ribosomal RNA". It matches the Rfam family "Eukaryotic small subunit ribosomal RNA", at positions 1470 to 1796 of the family's 1831-position model. The record is from RNAcentral.